Molecule: small nuclear RNA, 139 nt
Organism: Apodemus sylvaticus (European woodmouse)
Lineage: Eukaryota; Metazoa; Chordata; Mammalia; Rodentia; Muridae
Product: U4 spliceosomal RNA
Exons: 1
Source: RefSeq, a predicted model, not a curated record
AGUUUUGCGCAGUGGCAGUAUUGUAGCCAACGAGGUGUAUCUGAGGUGCAAUUAAUGCUAAUUGAAAACUUUUCCCAAUAAAGUAAAAUGCUCAGCGAUACUAUUAAGGAAUCAUAUUAAUAAUUCCUCUUUUCAAAGU